This 774-nucleotide long non-coding RNA is filed under the name Marmota monax (woodchuck). Lineage: Eukaryota; Metazoa; Chordata; Mammalia; Rodentia; Sciuridae. The record is from RNAcentral.
CUCGAGGUGCAGCCCUGUGUUUGCGGGUGGGUGGGCUGUCGAGAGUUUCAUAGGUAGGCCUGGCGUCAGCGUCAUCGGGAUGGUCCUGGGUUCCCCACCCACCCGAAUGCGAGCAAUGCAGGGCCUCGUUUCGGAAGAACCCACAGUCUCGGAAAAGCAGGCACCUGGCGCUCCGCAGGGCGUGUCCUCCAGCGCCCAGCGGGGCGGAGAUCCCAAGUCCUGGUCCAGCCAGCCGUGAGACCCGCAGCCGCACUUUAGUGCUCGGGAGACGUUAAUGGGCCUUACUCGCACCUUCAGGUGCCAUCUGGAAGAGCUGGGCAACUACACCCUGAAGGAGGGGCACGUUCCUCUGCCAGGAGCAGCCGGCCUCGGGUCCCAACUAACAGCUCUCUGCCGUCUCUGGAAGUCCCCGCGGUUCUCUGUGUGCCCUGUUGUGGAGGCCUCCAACGCGUGCUCAAUCUUUUCUCCCCAUGCGCCCACCCAGCGGGCCCCGCGUGCGCACUGCGUUCACUACUGAUGAUCCUAGCGCUUGCUACAGGUGCUAGCUAGCCUGCCUCUGACACCUAAACUGAGCUCCGAAGGCUGGAAGGAAUUGGCUCCGUUGGACCGGAAAUGUCAGUGGGAGGAAAGUGCUGCAGUAGAAGGAAUGGCCUGUGUCAAGACCCUUAGAUUCCAGGGAGCAUCAUAAUAGCAGGUAACAGCACUUGCCUCUUGCCAGGCAUGUAGAGUGUGUGUGUCCUGUACCGUUCUGUAAUGUUAAUAUAAUUGUUAUGG